Equus caballus (horse) is the source of this 869-nucleotide non-coding RNA. The record is from RefSeq and is a predicted model, not a curated record. NCBI's taxonomy places the organism in Eukaryota, Metazoa, Chordata, Mammalia, Perissodactyla, Equidae.
AAUAUCUUUAAGCUAAAAAGCAACGCUUAAUUGGAACAGAUGCUGCAAAUUCCAGUGCAAAAGGCCAGCUCCUAUGUGAUCUAAACCAGACGUGUGGUCGAGGUCUUGAAUCUUCUUGGAUCAGACAGCCGAGAGUCGUGCCCUAGAGGACCCAACCCAGGACCCCACGUGGUCUCGCUGUUGCGCCUUCUCGGUCUCCUUCGGUCCAUGGCAGCUCAUCUCUUCCCUCGUCAUUCAUGGACCUGGACACUUUCGAAGAGUACAGGUUUGGCAUUUUGAAGAAUGUCCAUAAACUUGGGUUUGCUUUGUCUUCUCAUGAUCACAUUGAGGUUGUGGAUUCGGGAGGAAGAAUGCCGCAGAGACGACGUGCCCUUCUCAGUGCAUCGUACCGGGGAGCAUGUGACGUUACUACGUCUUUCCACAGGGGAUGCUAACCUUGGUCUUUCAGUUAAGGUGGUCUCUGUCGGGUUUUACACCAUAAAGUUACUGUUUUCCAUUUGUAAUUAAUAAAUAUUUGAGAGGAAAUACUUCAAGGCUGUACAAAUAUCUGGUUUAUCCUUAAACUUUUACCCACUAAUUUUAGCUUCCAUCAGUAGAGCUCGCCUACAGCAAUUAUUUCUAUGAUUUUCUAAUGAUGAUUUUUAAAUUUCCUUCCAUUCAUUUUACGUUUAUUAAUUGAAAUGUUUCUGUAAGGAAGAGUUGCCCAUUCACCCACAUUUGUUUAUUUAUUGAAUCAUUUGCUUAUGAACUCGUGGGUAUUUUUCCCUCUGAGUUUUAAUCUAAUACUAUUAUUUAUUAUAUUACUCAAAUUGUUACAACUCUGGCCACUGAGAGCUCUUUCUGAUUGGUUCCUGUGUUCUUUAGACACA